UAGAUCCUGUGGUAGCGAUGGUGAUGAGGCUGCUACUGGUGAUUGUUUGAAAGUGCCAAGAGAUAAGUGCAAGCCAAGCUCCCCCAUCCAGUUUUGCCUGCCUCUCAGGUGGGGGCACGGCUGCCUGUGUGGUGGGGAGUCCAUUCUUUACUGGAGACCAGGGCACUGGCCGGUUAGGGCCCAGCUGCUGGGAGCUCAACCAGGGAGACACAUCCUCAAUGAGUUUCUGCAAGGAUGAUGUCUCAGCCUCACUGCCACACCCACUGCUGCACCUAUCUUCUCCACUGGGAUGCCCCUGAACUUGGCUUCCUAGAGCCUCAGUGUUGGGGAUGGGGAUGGGGCACAGAAGCUGUCCUGUUGGGUGGGACCAGGGUGAGGAGAGUUCUUAGAGCAGACUGGGCCACCAUAGUGUGUUCCAGGGACUCAGACCUCUGUGGCUUCCUCCUUGUCCGGGGGCAAAAGACAACAGUAGACCAUCAUGGAAGACACCAAAAAUACCAGCCAGGGCUGAGUUCAUCCUGUGACAAACACCUGUGCAGCCUCUUUUCAUGUCCAAAUC
This 559-nucleotide long non-coding RNA is filed under the name Homo sapiens (human). RNAcentral describes it as "non-protein coding lnc-DDX20-5:1". Lineage: Eukaryota; Metazoa; Chordata; Mammalia; Primates; Hominidae. The record is from RNAcentral.